This is a long non-coding RNA of Corapipo altera (White-ruffed manakin), 519 nucleotides long. RefSeq lists it as uncharacterized. NCBI's taxonomy places the organism in Eukaryota, Metazoa, Chordata, Aves, Passeriformes, Pipridae. The transcript is spliced from 4 exons. The record is from RefSeq and is a predicted model, not a curated record.
GAUUGUUUACUGACUGUUUUCUGGGGGCAAAGGCUGUCUCCUUUGUCACUCAGCUCUUCAGUGUCACAUGGGCCCUGAUCCGUAACUGAAACUUUUAGAUCCCACCAUCACCUAAGUAUUAAUUGCAAAAGAAGUAGCUAAGCUUGAGCAUCUGCUCUGGAUCUGCAUGACUGCAAUGUAGGCAGAAGGCUUCAAAAAGACAGUCCCUAUCAGACAGGAGGGAGAGGAGACAAAGAAAUGAGUGAGGUGGAAGGAGACUCCUCUCUUGCUUACUGUGCAGCAGUACUGUCCUCAACAGAGUCACACAGACACUUUCCAUUGACUUCCAAGGGCUUGCAACAUGGCCCAAAAGACAACCUGUAGGUGCACGUUUCUAAGGAGGUGCAAUGACUGGGAUUUGCAUCCAAACAGGAACCCUGCAGAUUUCUUCAAAUCCUGGUGACAAAGAUACAAUGGCAACCAGAAACAUUAUGCUCACAAUGCUGAAGAAUGCAAAUGCAUUAGCUCAUGACCUCCGAG